AUCAUAUGAAUAAUCAUUAUAGCACCUUAUUUGAAUUGGUCAAUAUGUUGGUAACUAAGGGAUCUUGAAAAGUUCAGAGGUACAUACCUAGAAAGCUUAAAGAAACAAAGACACGCCUUUAGAAGGCAUUGCUUAAAAUUGAUCUUAUGAUUUUCUCUUCUCCUAGUUGAGUAUUAGACUCUAGUGCUUGUUUAUGCACUUUACUAUAGGAUCUAAAGGCAGGAAGAGGGCUGAGGGAAGGUAAGGUGACUCUUUUGAAUCGGCAAUGGAGCAAGAGUUACACUAUGGCUGUGGACACUUAACCUCUACAACUACUGUUUGGAUUUAAUUCUUAGAUUUAGUUCUCUAUCAUUUGUAUGGUGAUAAUUUUAUAAACUUUUUGAAUAAACAGUGAAUGCCAUUGGAUCUGAGAGAUCUAAAGAUCAGACAAACUUAAAGUAUAUAUAUGUGGUACUUAAAGUUAGGUCAUAUAGGAGAAAAAAUAAUUUAUUGAUUAAAGAAAUAUGAAUCUUUGAGUUUAUUGACUGUUG
This 530-nucleotide long non-coding RNA is filed under the name Elaeis guineensis (African oil palm). RNAcentral describes it as "long non-coding RNA (EGUI_LNC066873)". Lineage: Eukaryota; Viridiplantae; Streptophyta; Magnoliopsida; Arecales; Arecaceae. The record is from RNAcentral.